GGGACACGUCCACGCUUCUAAAUGUUCUUUUUUUUCUGCUUGUUGGUUGUUAUGCAGGUAACAAGACAGGAAAGGAGUCACACAAAUAUGUGAGUUACAACAGGUUGUACAGAUAAGGGCUAAGCAUGCAAUUAAAAUGUGUAAAUCAUUAAUAAUUUCCAUGGCAUUAUUUCUUUGUAUUCAGUUUUCGAAGUGCUAAUUGGACAUUUUAAAGUAUGCCAAUGAAAUAGUUUUCAUUUAUAUGCAAUUAUAUUCUUUUAUCAAAUCAACAUAUUAAUAUCAAUAUAUUUUUUAAAUGUGGACAUAUAAUUUGCUUUUGGGGAACGUGGUGAUGUAAUAAACAAUGCAAUUGUAAUGACUGUGUUCUCUCACUAUACAGUCACACUAUUGUAGGGGAGUAGGAAAUUUUAAAUGCAGAGCACUGGAAAUUAAUAAUUAAAAUGAACAAAUAAAGGGUCAUUGUUACCAUCACUUCAGGUUCCUGGAGACUGAACUUAAACCGAAAAAGUCUUCAACCUUAAAUGUAACGACUUGAAUUGCGAGAAUCUGCUUUCUGGCCGUGAUUAAAAGACGAUGUCUUUUCAUGAAACACAAAUGUGCCACCAUGACAUACUGUGUCGAAAUGUUCUUUUGUGGAGAACUGAAAGUAAAAUAUACUAUGACCUUUGAUUUGAACCAGGUAAUACAGGUGAAUACAACGACUGGAGCCAUAGAAAAGAAAACAUUUGCCAUGUGUGUUAUCUAUUUUUGAUAAGAGCAUUUAUCAAAUACUGUUAACUUCAUUUCCUCUAAGAACUUAAGGUGUAGGGACAGGAGCACCAGGGAGUGGUGGAAAAGGUUGAUUCAUCACAGGAUGAUACUCAGGGAAAUGUGAUGUAGCUCACCAUGCAAAUAUUUGACUAUAGAGGGAGGGGUCUGAUAGUCACAAAGUCCCCGGGAAUGUUCAGUGCAGACAAAGUCCACUAAUGAACGAGAUGAACAUGAAGAGGGAGUUGAAGCAGAAGAAAACUGGCCCUCGAGCUUCUCCCCAAGAUUCUGUACACCCAAAUUUAAGAUCGGGCCUUCAAGUUGCUCUAUUUAUCCCUCCAUAAUUUCCAUAUCUAUAUUGACAGUUUCUCCUUUCACUUCUUCAUUAGCAGUGAGGUGGGGAGUGAGCUGUGCUGAGCUUUUCUCGGCAGCGGGUGCUUGAACCUGGUCAGCUCAAACUAGAGGCUCCGAAGGAUGAGGGACAGCAUGGGACUCUGAAGACCUGAGGAAUAACAACAUUAGCUUCUGUGGGCCCACUUGGGACAUGUUCGAUAGUCUGCCAGAUAACUGGGACUCUCUGAGAACGUACUGGAUGUCUCUAUGAUUGUGCUCCAUUCAUUGAAUUAAUCUUAUCCUGCUCGAAGGACCAUGAACAAUAUUUAAGGACUUCAACAAUCUGGUGUAGGGACUUCAUUAACUCAACGGGUUGUCGAUUAGAACAGAGCAGCACAUGCAGACAGGUCCCUUUAAAUCAUUUAUUGUAAGGUGGGUUUUAGCCACUAGUUUGUAUGUCAUACACUCAGCAAACAAUUUACAGGAAAAGGUGAGGCUUCUUCACAUGGUUCUUUGUUCUCCAUGAAAAGAACACCAUGUACAGGUUUAAAGACCCCAUCCUUUCAGGCAGAGAGAGAAGCUUGUGGGAAUGGUUUAGGAUAUUUAACAAUUUUGAGAUUUACAUGAAGUAAAGAGAAACCAAAACACAGUCACUGUGAUGCUGUUGAGAGAAAGAACAAAAGCAUCAUUUGAAUAUCUAGUCAACUUAACGAGCUAGACAUAUGGCACAUGUAACAAAAGGAAGGAGCGCACUGCUGAGAGAACACUUCGACUGCUCAGAAAGUAGCUUUCAAGAUUGCCAUGGAUAUGUAAGUUUGUUUUCGUUUUUCUUUACUAAAUGUAAGUGAUUUGUAAAGAAAGAAAGAGCAAGAAAAGGAUUCGUCUCCACAUUACGUCGUCUGCUCAGGUUAACUUCUAAAUGAUGAGCACUGUGAAAAUAACUGAGACAAAGGAGCGAUUUUGAUUAAUUUCUGACACCCAUGGAAGCACAAACAACCACUGCCAUCAAAUAAUCUAGUUAACACACUUUUUGAACAUAUUCCUUCUUUAUUUUAGAAACGGGAUUACGGUCACUCCUACUCCAUCUGGGAGUAAGGUGUCUGUGGACUCUGUGAAGAUAUCAACCCCUGUAUCUCUGGCUGGAGUUGUGGCAACUGCAACCGCAGCAGUUGCAGUAUUUGCAAUUUCUGGUAACAAGACAACCAGUUCCGUGGGAAAGAAUUAUAACUGAGUCACAGCAGGCUGUAUAAAUAAGGCCUAAAUGUGCAAUUAAAGGGUGUAAAUCUGUGUUAGGGGUAAAUGUAUACUAAAUAAUUUCCAUUGCAUUUUUAUUAAGAUAAAUUUUAUUAUUAGAGGUGAUAAUCAAAGGUGAAGGUGAAAGUUUUUGUUUUGUUACUGCACAACCCACUGAACUAGGUGUGACCUAGACAGGUUACUUCUGUACCAACAGAGCAUGACUACCAACAACAAUCCUGUCCAACUGUGAGUACUGUCAUUUUAGUAUUAACGUUCAUAACCUGUUCAUAAAUAUUACAGUACUGCUCCAGAAGCUAGGUAGCAUGUUCGAAGUAGACAUUAUGACGUUACCGCACCUUGCCUACUAAUUAUUUUCAUAGAUGCUGGUAUAAAAACCCCUCAGUGUAUUCUUGAAUAGUAACAAUACUAAUAUUAAUAAUUCUCCCUGUUUAUCCAGAGAUAUCAUCCAUCAAAACUGAAACUAAGCCGACGUGUCAGUUAGAAGACUUUGGGAUACAGCUGACUGUACGUCUGUGAGGAGGAAGCAGAAACCAGCUGAAGACAAUAAGAAAAUAAAUUCCGAAUGCAUAAAGAUGAUUUAACUGGACUUGGCCAAACUUGUACUUUAAUCAAAUUUUUUAUUUUUUUUUAUAAAUGUGGGCUAACGUAUUUAAUUUGCUUUUGGGAAAGAUGCUGAUUUAAUAAAUAAAGGGAUUAUAACAACUGUGUUCUCUCACUUUACUGUCAAAUUAUUGUAGGAGUAGAACACUUUAAAUGCAGACCACUGGAAAUGCUUACUGGAUUAAAAAUAAAGAGACAUUAAUACCAUCACUGGUGACUUCAGUUGUGAUUUCCGGUUGUUUCCUGGAGACCUAAAAUAUCUUCAACCUGAACUGUGAGAAUCUGCUUUCUAGCUCUACUAGAAAGAUGAGUCCCUAUUCACACAGCAGUGAAUGUUCCCAUGACGUACUGUGUGGAAAUAUUCUUUGAUGGAAAACUGAAAGUAAAAGAUACUUAAUGACC
This is a long non-coding RNA of Mugil cephalus (flathead mullet), 3339 nucleotides long. RefSeq lists it as uncharacterized. NCBI's taxonomy places the organism in Eukaryota, Metazoa, Chordata, Actinopteri, Mugiliformes, Mugilidae. The record is from RefSeq and is a predicted model, not a curated record. The transcript has 2 exons.